Long non-coding RNA from Mesocricetus auratus (golden hamster), 503 nucleotides. RefSeq lists it as uncharacterized. The record is from RefSeq and is a predicted model, not a curated record. NCBI's taxonomy places the organism in Eukaryota, Metazoa, Chordata, Mammalia, Rodentia, Cricetidae. The transcript is spliced from 3 exons.
GUCUGUGGGAGCCACUCUCAUUCAUACCACCACACAGUUAGCCAAGAAAGCACCUGCUUUCUUUACCUCCUCAGUGAUGAAUUACAGCUGCCCAGUACUGGAAUUACAGGCCCGUGUGGAUCAGGAUAUGAACAGCUGGAAUUGGCUUGAAGACAGCAAAACCUGGAGGAUAUUAAGAAACUGAAAGGACUGAUAACACCAACUGCUUUGAUGGAUAUAUUAGAAAAUUGAGUUUCUCCUACUACAAGAUUAGAACUGAUGAAGUCCUAAAGAUAAAUGCCUCAGUAAGGUAAUUGUCUGGUUGGGUCUAUUCCCUACUGAUUAUUUUCCUUAGGACUUACUGAGUUCCAUGGAAAGUUCACACAACUCAUGAGACUGGCUCAUAAAUUCCAACAAGUAUCCUCCAGACUAUUCCUUUACAAUAGUCCAACUACAGAAAAAGGGAUGACUUACUUAUUCUCACUGUGUUUUAUUUUUGAGAUCAUGUCUUGUCAAGUAUCUCU